UCCCUGAUGGUCCAGUGGCAGGAUCUGGCACUCUCUGCCAAGGCCCGGGUUCGAUUCCCGGUCGGGGAG
Non-coding RNA from Pseudophryne corroboree (corroboree frog), 69 nucleotides. The record is from the annotation of a RefSeq genome assembly. NCBI's taxonomy places the organism in Eukaryota, Metazoa, Chordata, Amphibia, Anura, Myobatrachidae.